UACGGGGGGGGCAAGCGUUGUUCGGAAUUACUGGGCGUAAAGGGCUCGUAGGCGGCCAACUAAGUCAGACGUGAAAUCCCUCGGCUUAACCGGGGAACUGCGUCUGAUACUGGAUGGCUUGAGUUUGGGAGAGGGAUGCGGAAUUCCAGGUGUAGCGGUGAAAUGCGUAGAUAUCUGGAGGAACACCUGCGGCGAAGGCGGGUUGCUGGGCUGACACUGACGCUGAGGCGCGAAAGCCAGGGGAGCGAACGGG
RNAcentral lists this ribosomal RNA (253 nucleotides) under uncultured bacterium. RNAcentral's name for it is "partial 16S ribosomal RNA". It matches the Rfam family "Bacterial small subunit ribosomal RNA", at positions 524 to 776 of the family's 1533-position model. The record is from RNAcentral.